RNAcentral lists this ribosomal RNA (249 nucleotides) under uncultured bacterium. Its description in RNAcentral is "partial 16S ribosomal RNA". It matches the Rfam family "Bacterial small subunit ribosomal RNA", at positions 524 to 775 of the family's 1533-position model. The record is from RNAcentral.
CACGUAGGGCGCGAGCGUUGUCCGGAAUUAUUGGGCGUAAAGAGCUCGUAGGCGGCCUGUUGCGUCCGCUGUGAAGCCCGGGCUUAACCCGGGUCGGCAGUGGAUACGGGCAGGCUAGAGGUAGGUAGGGGAGAAUGGAAUUCCCGGUGUAGCGGUGAAAUGCGCAGAUAUCAGGAGGAACACCAGUGGCGAAGGCGGCUUACUGGUCCGGUUCUGACGCUGAGGCACGAAAGCGUGGGGAGCAACAGG